This 297-nucleotide ribosomal RNA is filed under the name Triticum aestivum (bread wheat). Its description in RNAcentral is "partial small subunit ribosomal RNA". Lineage: Eukaryota; Viridiplantae; Streptophyta; Magnoliopsida; Poales; Poaceae. The record is from RNAcentral.
AUGCGUCAGUUGAAGCUUGUGCGCAACAUGAGGGCUCAAAACGACCCUUGGUUCGCAGAAUACCUACUACGCAUUGGAAAUGGAACUGAGAAGACAAAUGAUGAUGGUGAAAUACUUCUACCUAGAAGUAUAUGUGUGGCAAAUAAGACGGAUGAUAAUGGCUUGGAUAGACUCAUUGACAGUAUCUACCAAACAGGCAAUGCUUCCCUAAUAAAGGAUCCAAAGUACAUCACAUCAAAAGCAAUUUUAUCCACAAGGAACGACUGCGUGGACAAAAUCAACUUAAAAAUGAUUGAU